AAAAAAAUCAACACCGGUGGAAGUUUUUCUCCCGAUGCCGUGCAGCUCAGAACACAGUAGACCAGAUGUGGGAGCGCUUUGAUGCAUAUUUACACCGCCCUUUGACUCUGCUGUAGAGGUCAUGUCUGGGAAUUUCAAGAUAUGCAGCUGGAUGCAAAGUCAAUCGAGUAAAGCAGAUGAGCUAAUUGCAGAGAAGACAAUGAAAUCUAUCGGACUUGUGAAGUAGUGUCAAACCGAACUCAUUUAUGCUGGUGAUGGCUAUGGUGGAUCCAGGGCAUGGAAUGAAAACACUAUGCAUGAACGGGAUCAUACUCCGGUUGCUGUUCCUCAAAUAAACCGUUCAGAGGCACAUACAGGUAAGUCUAUGAGGCUUAUAAAUCAGUGCAUCAG
Molecule: long non-coding RNA, 390 nt
Organism: Silurus meridionalis
Lineage: Eukaryota; Metazoa; Chordata; Actinopteri; Siluriformes; Siluridae
Exons: 4
Source: RefSeq, a predicted model, not a curated record